This 2970-nucleotide long non-coding RNA is filed under the name Cinara cedri. Lineage: Eukaryota; Metazoa; Arthropoda; Insecta; Hemiptera; Aphididae. The record is from RNAcentral.
GUUAUAAUAUGUGACCAAAUGUUUUAAAAUGAUAAAAACUAUUUAAAUUAACUAUUAAGGUUGUUACGUUUUUAUUUUAAUUUUUUUAUAUUCAGUAAUUUUAUUUUUUUAAAUGCUGAAACAUAACAAUAAUAAUAUGAAACAUAUUAUCUUUUAAAUAUAACUGAAUUUACAUAAAUAAAAAUUUACCAAAGAAAUGAUACAAGUAAAUGCAUAUUUUGAGCUUGAUUAUCAAGUUUGAGUACCUAAGUAACACUGGGUGAAAUAUAAAUGGUAAAUAUAAAUACUGUAAAAUUUAUUGUAGGCAUAAAUACAAAUAUACAAUACAUAUUUCUUAUUGUAACUUGUUUACAAUUCUAUAAAUUAUUUUAAAUAAAAAAAACUAUAUUUUUGUAGCAUAUUUUCAUGUUUAAGGAAUAUUAAGAGAAUAUUUUAAGGUUUUUUAGAACAUAUUAUCAUCAUACACUAAACUUUUAAGAACCUAAAAAUCCGCCCUCUAGCUAUAACAGUUAGACAGCUGAAACGUGAAGAUUUCUAAUCGUAACGGAAAUAGACAUCACUUUUUAUAAUAAAUUCGCUAAAAUAAUAAUAUAAAAAUUGUAGUAAAAUUACACUGUUGUAAAUGUUGAAAUACUUGUUAGAAUUUCGCAUUUGAAAUUUUAAUGUCAAUCGUGAUUUUGCCUGCCAGACAGGAGAAAAAUGUAGAAAUCUACAUUGACGGAGAAAAAUGUAUUCGAUUAUAAUUUAUAAAAAUCACUUUAUAUAGUUUUUAAACAAUAUAAUACCUUGUUCUAAUCAUCAAUUUCAAAGGUGAUUUUCUAGUAGAAAAUUUUGACUAAAUGUUGGUUUUUUUGAAAUAUCAUUUUGGUUUGAUUAUAAUAACAAUACAAAUAAUGGUUUUGUGGUUUCUAAAUAAAAAGUAUUGCACAAAUUACGUUUUCUACAUUCGUUUGGGAUUUUUUUGUUAUUUUUAACAAUAGAAAAAGUUUCCAUUCAAAAUAAUUGCGGUUUACCAAUUGAAUGGGUUCAAGACUAUUGCUUCAUAAAAAUACGAUCUUAGCAACAAGUUUAAUCAAAGAUAUUUGAUUUUACUUUUUACGAUUUCAACUCAGGAAAUGUAUUAAGUAAAUUGUUUUUCAAGUAUAUUAUUGUCUUUUACAUAGCAUCAUUAAAUUGUUAACUAUGUACGUACUAUAUUAUACUAAUAAAUGUUUCUUCGCGUGUUUGCUACAUUACCAUUAAAAAUAGUAUUAAUUUACUGCACGAUUGACACGAAACACGAUCUCUAGAAUAAUAUAUUAUACGUAAAACCGCGAAGUUGACAAAAGAUAAAACUAUAACAAUGCCUACUUCUUUAUAAUAUAGUAAUCUUAAUAGUCAUGAAAAAAUAUUUGUAUACUUAUUGUUUCAUCGGUAAUAAAGAUUAUACAGUUUAUAACUACGAUUAAACUUUUAAAAGAAAAAAAAAACGACAAUAAUAAAGGUAUAUUUUAUAUUUGAAGCGUAAGCCAAAAAAAAAAAACAAACUAAAAACAGUAAAAAAUGUUUAUCUACCUAUUUGGGCUUAACGUAUACGGCAGAAACUGAUUCAGGAAUUAUUCAAUGGGGAGGGGUAGUUAAAAUGUAUACAGUACCAAUAUUAUUCUAUAGGGAACAGUACAAUGCAUUAUAUUAUGCUGAAAGAAGAGGGGGGGUUAUUAAUACUCGAUUAUCCCCAGUGGAUCCCUCACUAGCAUAUACGAUUAAAAUAUUUGGUGAUCAACCACAGUUAAAUGGACUCGGCGAUGCACGGGAAGAUGUAUUUAAAUGUAUAUUUAUAACUGUUGGCUUCCACCGUUGGACGAUAACCGUUGAUGGGUAAGGGGUAAGGGAAGACAUGCCCCCCUAGAAAAAAUAAAUAUCACAACAAUUGAUUUUUGUUAUUAAUUAUUUAAAUUAAUUUAAACAAUUAUGUAGGUACUAUAAACUGUAGAUAAACAAGUAUUUAAUGCAUCUAAAUCUGUAGUUUAAAUAAUAUUAAUGUUUUGUAGGCAUUGGACUUUAUACUAUUAUUUGUAUAUUUGCAAUCCCACGGUUACCUUGUUGAUAAAUGUUUUGGAAAACCUGAUUUUAGUUUGUUCUCCCGGACAGAAAAUUACUUUCUGGACUCACACAAAAUUAACAUUUAAAUAUUAUCCAUACAUUUUAAAAUAUUAUUCUCAUAAUCAUUCAGGAGUGGAUUUGAUGGAACCCGACCCACUAUUCUAGGUAUACUACACUAAAAAGUUUUCAGGAUCUUAUUUAUUUAUUUUUAAAUAUCGAUAUAUAUAUAUAUAUUGUUCAAUUAAAGUUGAAUUAAUAAAAAAGCGUAAACGAUUAAAAGGUUUGUGAAUGUACAAUUAUUAAAAAUAAGUAAUAUCUCGUAAUUAAUAUUAAUACGAAUUUAAAUGUUUGUCGUAAAUAAUUAAUAUAUUAAUGUAUAAUGUUGCGUAUAAUAGAGAAGAUUGAAAAUCGACUGCAAACCAAUCUUCAGAUUUAAACCAUAAAGAGAAAAUUAAUAUGUCAAUAAUAACGUAGAAUGAAAGCAUAUCAUAAUAUAAUAUUAUAAUCAAUAUGAUUAAAAUUUGGUGUAAUAUGGAACAUAAAAUGUGAUACUUUAAUGUAGUAUAUGGGUACCUAUAUAUUAACUUUAUCAUCCUCUGAUUAAUAUUUCUAGUAAAUAUAUUUUGAGUAAAUACAAUAUAAUAUGUAAUAUAUAAUAUAUAUCCAAUUAUGGUAUAUUUUUAUUUUUAAAAUAUUACCUUUUUUUUCCAAUUAAGAAAUUCAUUGUUUACUAAAUUUUGUAUUUGUUGUGUCCGUAGCAUUAAUGAAUCGACGAGUCUCAAGAAAUAAGUAUAUGCAAAAAUUAAUAGGUAAUCAUGGGUCUAUAUCACGAUGCAGAUAAAAUGUUACAAAACUUAUGCACAAAGUCAAAAAUCACACAUAACAAAU